Molecule: ribosomal RNA, 253 nt
Filed under: uncultured bacterium
Lineage: Bacteria
Description: partial 16S ribosomal RNA
Rfam family: Bacterial small subunit ribosomal RNA
Source: RNAcentral
UACGUAGGGUCCGAGCGUUGUCCGGAAUUAUUGGGCGUAAAGGGCUCGUAGGCGGUUUGUCGCGUCGGGAGUGAAAACACGGGGCUUAACCCCGUGCCUGCUUCCGAUACGGGCAGACUAGAGGUAUGCAGGGGAGAACGGAAUUCCUGGUGUAGCGGUGAAAUGCGCAGAUAUCAGGAGGAACACCGAUGGCGAAGGCGGUUCUCUGGGCAUUACCUGACGCUGAGGAGCGAAAGUGUGGGGAGCGAACAGG